RNAcentral lists this ribosomal RNA (490 nucleotides) under uncultured bacterium. Its description in RNAcentral is "partial 16S ribosomal RNA". It matches the Rfam family "Bacterial small subunit ribosomal RNA", at positions 28 to 507 of the family's 1533-position model. The record is from RNAcentral.
GAUGAACGCUAGCUACAGGCUUAACACAUGCAAGUCGCGGGGCAGCAUGGGGGUUGCUUGCAAUCCCCGAUGGCGACCGGCGCACGGGUGAGUAACGCGUAUCCAACCUGCCCUUCACCACGGGAUAACCCGGCGAAAGUCGGACUAAUACCGUAUGUUGUCCAUUGACGGCAUCCGUUUUGGACGAAAGGUUUGGCGGUGAAGGAUGGGGAUGCGUCCGAUUAGCUGGACGGCGGGGUGACGGCCCACCGUGGCGACGAUCGGUAGGGGUUCUGAGAGGAAGGUCCCCCACACUGGAACUGAGACACGGUCCAGACUCCUACGGGAGGCAGCAGUGAGGAAUAUUGGUCAAUGGGCGUAAGCCUGAACCAGCCAAGUAGCGUGCAGGAUGACGGCCCUAUGGGUUGUAAACUGCUUUUAUGCGGGGAUAAAGUGGCCCACGUGUGGGUUUUUGCAGGUACCGCAUGAAUAAGGACCGGCUAAUUCCGUG